GACGAACGCUGGCGGCGUGCCUAAUACAUGCAAGUUGAGCGCUGAAGGUUGGUACUUGUACCAACUGGAUGAGCAGCGAACGGGUGAGUAACGCGUGUGGAAUCUGCCUUUGAGCGGGGGACAACAUUUGGAAACGAAUGCUAAUACCGCAUAAAAACUUUAAACACAAGUUUUAAGUGUGAAAGAUGCAAUUGCAGCACUCAAAGAUGAUCCCGCGUUGUAUUAGCUAGUUGGUGAGGUAAAGGCUCACCAAGGCGAUGAUACAUAGCCGACAUGAGAGGGUGAUCGGCCACAUUGGGACUGAGACACGGCACAAACGCCUACGGGAGGCAGCAGUAGGGAAUCUUCGGCAAUGGACGAAAGUCUGACCGAGCAACGCCGCGUGAGUGAAGAAGGUUUUCGGAUCGUAAAACUCUGUUGGUAGAGAAGAACGUUGGUGAGAGUGGAAAGCUCAUCAAGUGACGGUAACUACCCAGAAAGGGACGGCUAACUACGUG
This 497-nucleotide ribosomal RNA is filed under the name uncultured bacterium. Its description in RNAcentral is "partial 16S ribosomal RNA". It matches the Rfam family "Bacterial small subunit ribosomal RNA", at positions 28 to 507 of the family's 1533-position model. The record is from RNAcentral.